GGGAGGCACCACCUUGAAGAGGGCAGAGAACCAGCCCUUCUCAGGCCUUGAUCCCUUACCCUUUUCUCCCAGGAACAUUCCUCGUCAAGGACUGUGACCAGCACAGAAAGGCUGCUCAGUGUGAUCCUUGCAUACCAGGGGUCUCCUUCUCUCCCGACCACCACACCCGGCCUCACUGUGAGAGCUGUCGGCACUGUAACUCCGGUCUUCUCGUUCGCAACUGCACCAUCACUGCCAAUGCUGAGUGUGCCUGUCGCAAUGGCUGGCGGUGCAGGGACAAGGAGUGCACCGAGUGUGAUCCUCUUCCAAACCCUUCGCUGACUGCUCGACCGUCUCAGGCCCUGAGCCCACACCCUCAGCCCACUCACUUACCUUAUGUCAGUGAGAUGCUGGAGGCCAGGACAGCUGGGCACAUGCAGACUCUGGCUGACUUCAGGCAGCUGCCUGCCCAGACUCUCUCUACCCACUGGCCACCCCAAAGAUCCCUGUGCAGCUCAGAUUUUAUUCGCAUCCUUGUGAUCUUCUCCGGAAUGUUCCUUGUUUUCACCCUGGCCGGAGCUCUGUUCCUCCAUCAACGAAGGAAAUACAGAUCAAACAAAGGAGAACGUCCUGUGGAGCCUGCAGAGCCUUGUCGUUACAGCUGCCCCAGGGAGGAGGAGGGCAGCACCAUCCCCAUCCAGGAGGAUUACCGAAAACCGGAGCCUGCCUCCUCCCCCUGAGCCCGCACCUGCGGGAGCUGCACUACAGCCCUGGCCUCCACCCCACCCCGCCGACCAUCUAAGGGAGAGUGAGACCUGGCAGCCACAACUGCAGUCCCAUCCUCUUGUCAGGGCCCUUUCCUGUGUACACGUGACAGAGUGCCUUUUUGAGACCGGCAGGGACGAGGACAAAUACGGAUGAGGUGGAGAGUGGGAAGCAGGAGCCCAGCCAGCUGCGCCUGCGCUGCAGGAGGGAGGGGACUCUGGUUGUAAAACACACUUCCUGCUGCGAAAGACCCACGUGCUACAAGACGGGCAAAAUAAAGCGACAGAUGACCACCCUGCA
This 1044-nucleotide small RNA is filed under the name Pongo abelii (Sumatran orangutan). Its description in RNAcentral is "processed transcript". The record is from RNAcentral. Lineage: Eukaryota; Metazoa; Chordata; Mammalia; Primates; Hominidae.